This is a long non-coding RNA of Oncorhynchus tshawytscha (Chinook salmon), 607 nucleotides long. Lineage: Eukaryota; Metazoa; Chordata; Actinopteri; Salmoniformes; Salmonidae. The record is from Ensembl.
CUACCGUUGCUGUUGCAUCAAAUGAUUUGAGUGAGUUUUCGGAGAAGGAAUGAUUGAAUUUGCUUGGAGCUGAGCCCUAGGACCAUGCCUCAGGACUACCUGGCCUGAUGACUCCUUGCUGUCCCCAGUCCACCUGGUCGUGCUGCUGCACCAGUUUCAACUGUUCUGCCUGCGGCUGUGGAACCCUGACCUGUUCACCGGACAUGCUACCUGUCCCAGACCUGCUGUUUCAACUCUCUAGAGAAAGCAGGAUCGGUAGAGAUACUCUGAAUGAUCGGCUAUGAAAAGCCAACUGACAUUUACUCCUGAGGUGCUGACCUAUUGCACCCUCAACAACCAAUGUGAUUGUUAUUAUUUGGCCCUGCUGGUCAUCUAUGAACAUUUGAACAUCUUGGCCAUGUUCUGUUAUAAUCUCCACCCGGCACAGCCAGAAGAGGACUGGCCACCCCUCAUAGCCUGGUUCCUCUCUAGGUUUCUUCCUCGGUUCUGGCCUUUCUAGGGAGUUUUUUCUAGCCACCGUGCUUCUACACCUGCAUUGCUUGCUGUUUGGGGUUUUAGGCUGGGCUUCUCUACAGCACUUUGAGAUAUCAACUGAUGUAAGAAGGGC